UCUGCAUACACAGGAUAGUUCAACAGAAGAGCUCCUCCUCCUUCCAUGGGGUUGUAGAUCCUGCAGACUGGAAACCUAGAUCUGAAUGCCUCCACACUCUGAGAAAAUUUGGAUCUAGAUACAUGAACUUUCUGGCCUCUUUCUGGGAGUUGCACUGCAAUUUGAAGGAAUGGAAUUUUGCCAGAAACAGGACACAGAAACCAGGAAAUCUACAAACAAUUCAGCACGAGGAUUAGAAUCUUGGGAACACCUGUUAAUGAGCCAUGGUGAACAGGGCUGCAACUGAUUUUGUCAGAGGGGAGCAGACCUGGCUUGGAAGCAGCAACAGAAGGAGUGGAUUGGGCCCACAGCUCGCAGCUUUGGACCAAAGCUGAUCUGGUCAAGUGGCAGCAAUAGGCUAGAUUGGGGCUAAUGGCACUGGGCCAAAGCAGGUAAGGAUGGGCACUGGCAACCCAGCAGAUAUCAGCAGAUGUCUCACAAUGGACAAGGUGAGAGGAGCAUGUACCUACUGAUUGUGGCAGACUUGUGAGUGAGAUUUGUUUUGACUGGAGCAACAAGCCAGCCCACUAAUAAGAGACUGUGGCGUUUGAGGGUCAAAAUUCACCUCUGUGCAGAGGGUCAUUGCAAGGCCUCAAAAUGUGCUGAAGUGGUGAAUAAGCCAGAUUUCUUCCUAGGGUUGUGUUUCACCCAAUGUGCGUAAGAAAUACUCUAUGUCAAUAUCUACCUCUUGAUCCAUCUCGUCUAUUCUCCUCUCUCCUAUCCAUAUAUCAUAACUAUAGUAGCUGGAGGAUUAUGCCCAUGCAAUUAAUAGCAAUAGUUCUAUUAAAAUAAUAGCACUUAGAACAUACAUCGUGCUUUACAUGUUCAGGGCUCUGUACAGACUGAAAUGAAGCCCAUUCUGUCCACUGUGCUGCCUGACCAGGUGGAAAUCAAUGACCUGGUGGCACAUUCUGAAUAUUGGAGGGGAUAUUAAAAUAACCAUUUAAACAGCUGCUCCAUUUGCUCAUCUAGUCACUGCCAAUAUUUAAAGGGACAUGAUAAAGGUUGACAGUCAAAAAUUGUAACCUCAGUUAAAUUCUCCAAAAGUGAACCUUCUACCAGCCCUCAAAAAAAUUAGAGGCACGAGACAGUUAAAGUCUAAACUCACCAUCUGGGUGAAACACAAUCUAUGAAAUUAAGAUUAAAUGAGACUAGAUCCAAUUCAAAGAAUCCCCCCAGCCCCAACAAGAAAUUGAAGUGUUCAUGACAUGCCUAGCUCUCUGCUACUUUCUAGUCCACACAGUCAAUGCCAGCAUUCUCUGGAAGUGGAUCUUUGUCCCAUGGAUUCUUGAUUCUAAACUUUGUGUCUCCAUGACAGAAGAAUCCAGCCCUGUGGAACUAUUGAUCCUUCCUCAUCCCAUUCCCGAACAUAUAAAUCUGUUGACAUUGCCUUAAGACAUGUACAAUAUUUAGCUAUGUCACUGAAAAGUGAAACAUUAUGAA
Mauremys reevesii (Reeves's turtle) is the source of this 1482-nucleotide long non-coding RNA. RefSeq lists it as uncharacterized. Lineage: Eukaryota; Metazoa; Chordata; Testudines; Geoemydidae. The record is from RefSeq and is a predicted model, not a curated record. The transcript is spliced from 4 exons.